RNAcentral lists this long non-coding RNA (833 nucleotides) under Anas platyrhynchos platyrhynchos (common mallard). Its description in RNAcentral is "lncRNA (ENSAPLG00000018751.1)". Lineage: Eukaryota; Metazoa; Chordata; Aves; Anseriformes; Anatidae. The record is from RNAcentral.
CACUAGAACAUAUGCUGGAGUUUUGUCUCACUGUCUCCUCUCCUCCUCAGGUUUCCAUGGGUAUAGCUGUUUUUGAUCUCAGUUCAUCUGCCUUACUGCAGUGUUUUUCUUGCUGUUGGAGGGGUUCUGCUAUUUCUGCCUCUCCUUUUCACCCUGCAGCCCCAAUUCCUUCUCCUUUUCCCCAGAAAGGUACUGGGGAAUUACAGUAGCAAAAAUAACAGUUUGUAGAGGCUCAAAAUAAUUUAUUCUCCCAAUGGCUUCCUUCUUUUUACUUUUGUUCAUUAUCCUAGAGACCUCCCUUGCUUCCCUUUUUGGCUCUCUCCCUUGCAUCUCCUGUGCUUCCCAUUUCUGCAGGCCCUAGAGCUAGACACGUGCCUGGGCUCAGGCCACCUGCUACAGAUGUUUGAGAUAUAGCCUAGAUAUAAUAAGGUGCUUGUCCACCUCUGCUACUUACAAUAUCACAAACAGAAGGAAAAAAAUUUCUACACUCCAAAUAUAUUUCUACACAUCUACGUUUCUAUAUUCCUCCAGGUGACUUCAUUUGCCACUUUCUGAUUGCUCUGCUAAAGCACAUGUAACCUGCUCAGUUGGUUCUCCUGCUGGAGUAUCUCCAUGCUGCUGCUGGCCAGCCCAUGCAGGCAGUGCCCUCCCUGAUACUCACAACUCAGCUGCUCUUCUUGCCUUAUUUAAGCAGCCAUUCAAUAUAUACUUUGAAUGAUUCUGAGGUCCGUUCAGCAGGAACUGCUGUGGUAGUAAGAAGUGUCAGUUGCACCAGCCUCCUUGUCCUUUCCCCUUCUUGGUUUUCCAGAGGAACAGGACCUCAGGAAUCCUAG